RNAcentral lists this ribosomal RNA (460 nucleotides) under uncultured bacterium. RNAcentral describes it as "partial 16S ribosomal RNA". It matches the Rfam family "Bacterial small subunit ribosomal RNA", at positions 338 to 795 of the family's 1533-position model. The record is from RNAcentral.
CCUACGGGUGGCAGCAGUGAGGAAUAUUGGUCAAUGGACGCAAGUCUGAACCAGCCAUGCCGCGUGCAGGAUGACGGCUCUAUGAGUUGUAAACUGCUUUUGUACGAGGGUAAACUCAGACACGUGUAUCGGGUUGAAAGUACCUUACGAAUAAGGAUCGGCUAACUCCGUGCCAGCAGCCGCGGUAAUACGGAGGAUCCGAGCGUUAUCCGGAUUUAUUGGGUUUAAAGGGUGCGUAGGCGGUUUGUUAAGUCAGGGGUGAAAUGUCGUGGCUCAACCCCUAAAGUGCAGUUGAUACGGGUUGACUAGAGAAUAGUUGCGGUAGGCGGAAUGUGUGGUGUAGCGGUGAAAUGCUUAGAGAUCAUGAAGAACACCGAUUGCGAAGGCAGCUUACCAAACUAUAUCUGACGUUGAGGCACGAAAGCGUGGGUAGCAAACAGGAUUAGAUACCCCUGUAGUC